RNAcentral lists this ribosomal RNA (493 nucleotides) under uncultured bacterium. RNAcentral's name for it is "partial 16S ribosomal RNA". It matches the Rfam family "Bacterial small subunit ribosomal RNA", at positions 28 to 506 of the family's 1533-position model. The record is from RNAcentral.
GACGAACGCUGGCGGCGUGCUUAACACAUGCAAGUCGAACGGAAAGGCCUGCUUUCCCUUGUGGAUUGCGGGUACUCGAGUGGCGAACGGGUGAGUAACACGUGAGUGAUCUGCCCCCAACUUGGGUAUAAGCCUGGGAAACUGGGUCUAAUUCCCGAUAGGACUGCAGGGUGGUGCCUGUGGUGGAAAACGAUUUUCUAGUGGUUGGGGAUGAGCUCGCGGCCUAUCAGCUUGUUGGUGGGGUAAUGGCCUACCAAGGCGGCGACGGGUAGCCGGCCUGAGAGGGUGGACGGCCACAUUGGGACUGAGAUACGGCCCAGACUCCUACGGGAGGCAGCAGUGGGGAAUAUUGCACAAUGGGCGGAAGCCUGAUGCAGCGACGCCGCGUGGGGGAUGACGGCCUUCGGGUUGUAAACUCCUUUCGACCGCGAGGAAGCCACCUGAUUGGAAGGGUGGUGACGGUAGUGGUAGAAGAAGCACCGGCUAACUACGU